Molecule: ribosomal RNA, 301 nt
Filed under: uncultured bacterium
Lineage: Bacteria
Description: partial 16S ribosomal RNA
Rfam family: Bacterial small subunit ribosomal RNA
Source: RNAcentral
CAGCCGCCGCGGUAAUACGAGGGGAGCUAGCGUUAUUCGGAAUUACUGGGCGUAAAGCGCACGUAGGCGGCUUUGUAAGUUAGAGGUGAAAGCCCAGAGCUCAACUCUGGAAUUGCCUUUAAGACUGCAUCGCUUGAAUCCAGGAGAGGUGAGUGGAAUUCCGAGUGUAGAGGUGAAAUUCAUAGAUAUUCGGAAGAACACCAGUGGCGAAGGCGGCUCACUGGACUGGUAUUGACGCUGAGGUGCGAAAGCGUGGGGAGCAAACAGGAUUAGAUACCCCCGUAGUCCCUGUCUCUUAUAC